UAUUUCACACAGUGGAUUAUUGGGAUUCUCUAUUUUCUGCAAUCUUCUAUUUAUAACUAUGAUACUAACUUCUCCUUCAGUUCGAUCUCCACGACUAACAAUACCUCCUGGAACCAGUCCUAUUGCAUUGCUUGAUUCUCCCAUCAUGCUGCGAAAUUCUCAAGUAUUUAUAUCAUCACAAUCUCAUUUUUCAUUUUCAAUAUCACAUGACUUCGUUGUUAUUUUUCUUGUUGUAAUUGCACCAGUUAAUUUAGUCGUUCAAAUUUAUGAAAUUUGUCUUUAAGUUUUCAUUAAUCUCUAUUUUGCAAUCCGAAUUCAUGAGAUUUGGUUAGA
Molecule: long non-coding RNA, 333 nt
Filed under: Cicer arietinum (chickpea)
Lineage: Eukaryota; Viridiplantae; Streptophyta; Magnoliopsida; Fabales; Fabaceae
Description: long non-coding RNA (CARI_LNC003443)
Source: RNAcentral